RNAcentral lists this ribosomal RNA (740 nucleotides) under uncultured bacterium. RNAcentral's name for it is "bacterial SSU rRNA". It matches the Rfam family "Bacterial small subunit ribosomal RNA", at positions 8 to 796 of the family's 1533-position model. The record is from RNAcentral.
AGAGUUUGAUCAUGGCUCAGAGCGAACGCUGGCGGCAGGCCUAAUACAUGCAAGUCGAACGCACCUUCGGGUGAGUGGCGGACGGGUGAGUAACGCGUGGGAACGUGCCCUUUGGUACGGAACAACUGAGGGAAACUUCAGCUAAUACCGUAUGUGCCCUUCGGGGGAAAGAUUUAUCGCCAUUGGAGCGGCCCGCGUUGGAUUAGGUAGUUGGUGGGGUAAAAGCCUACCAAGCCUACGAUCCAUAGCUGGUCUGAGAGGAUGAUCAGCCACACUGGGACUGAGACACGGCCCAGACUCCUACGGGAGGCAGCAGUAGGGAAUCUUGCGCAAUGGGCGAAAGCCUGACGCAGCCAUGCCGCGUGAAUGAUGAAGGUCUUAGGAUUGUAAAAUUCUUUCACCGGGGAAGAUAAUGACGGUACCCGGAGAAGAAGCCCCGGCUAACUUCGUGCCAGCAGCCGCGGUAAUACGAAGGGGGCUAGCGUUGCUCGGAAUUACUGGGCGUAAAGGGCGCGUAGGCGGAUAUCUAAGUUGGGGGUGAAAGCCCGGGGCUCAACCUCGGAAUAGCCUUCAAUACUGGAUAUCUUGAGUUCGGGAGAGGUGAGUGGAAUGCCGAGUGUAGAGGUGAAAUUCGUAGAUAUUCGGCGGAACACCAGUGGCGAAGGCGACUCACUGGCCCGAUACUGACGCUGAGGCGCGAAAGCGUGGGGAGCAAACAGGAUUAGAUACCCCAGUAGUCC